Molecule: long non-coding RNA, 1912 nt
Organism: Amphiprion ocellaris (clown anemonefish)
Lineage: Eukaryota; Metazoa; Chordata; Actinopteri; Pomacentridae
Exons: 3
Source: RefSeq, a predicted model, not a curated record
UGGAAUCCAGAGUAGAAUUUAAAAUCCUUGUGCUGAUAUACAAAGCCCUUAAUGGCUGAGCUCUGUCAUAUCUUAAAGACCUCAUGGAACCAUAUUAUCUCAACAGAGCUCUUCUCUCUUAGUGUGCAGACACAGGUUAAUCUGCUUAGGAAUCAGCCCCCAGUUUAGGUUUAUGAGACAGACAGCCUCUCUGCUUUUAAGAUUAGGUUUCAAACUUUCCUUUUUGAUAAAGUUUUUAGUCAGAGCUGACUCAGGUGACCCUAAAUCAUGUCUUAGUGUUGCUGUAAUACACACAGACUGUUGGAUGACAUCACACGGUGCACUGAGCACCACUGUUCCCUCUAAGCUACGCGCGUGCACAAUUGCGCACUGCUGACACGGUCUUCGCGCACAGAAAAUCUGCGCUGUGCACAAAAAAAAAUCCAACCUAAAUUGUAAAUAAAAUAAACAGGUAACAAUUCAUUCUGUGAUAUUUUUCAGUGUGAGUCAGUGAGUGACCGGUGACUGGCUGCUGCAGCCAAUGAUGCGAUUCACAUACGUAUUUACCAUAGACUGUACAUAAUGGUAUUUACGCAGCUAAUCAACGUCAUUGACAGGCGUCCUUAUGUGCAGCCAUCGUUGUUCUCAUAGAUAUGAAUGAGUAGAUAGGACACGCCCCUUUGAGCUGCGUGCUACGGCGAGGCUAAGCUAGUGGGGGAAAAGUUUCAGUGCAUUCUGUUGAUGUAGACGGCGUGAAAACGGAAACAACAAGUAUGCCGGCUCACUGUGCUGCAUACAACUACACACUACGUCGUACGAUUGAGACAAGGAAACUUGGAAUGACUUUUCAUAGGUUUCCCAGAGACUAUGGGUUGAGGAGGAAUUGGAAGUUUGUCGGCUUAGACCUGGUGUCAUUCCAUCAGUGAUAAACUUCCCGGCUCAUCUUGGAAGAGUACGUGCCAGAAAGACCACGACCAAGCAGCCUUGAGAUCUUAGACAGCGUCUCCCUGAGGUCCCUCUCUAUCUCCCCACACAUCCACCAACCACUGGAACACAUCUCCAAAGUUCUGCCGGGCCAGCUCAGCUUCCCCUCAGAAGAAGUGCCGCCACCUGCCAGAUGAAGGAGCCUUUUGAGAGGCAGCUGACAUCGUGAUUGGACUGUACUUUGGUCUGUUCCAAUCCAGCUUCAGCUCCAGAGACGGCAGGCGGGACGAGUCAACGGAGGCCUGGUGGACGAAGGCAUGAAGCUGAGUACAAUCCAGAAAACAACAGAGGAGGAGUGCAGCAUCCCAGAGCCAGAACAAGCAGAGUAGCAUCGUAUGUCUCUUAGAAAACAUCAUAGUAUAGCCUUUGCUAUGAAAAAACGCCAUCAUAUACAUCAUAUAUUGUACAAAUAACAAGUCAAAGGAAAAAGACAUACAUUGUAGAAUUGUAGUAACUGAGGGCUGACGGAUUUACUGAUUAUCAAUAUUAAAUUUUUUACUGAUUUACGGUAAUAAAUACAUUUAAAAAUGGUGCUACUUUGGCUCUAAACCUUUAUCUACCUGUGGUCGCUCUGUCUUCUGGAGUGAUUUGAUUGGUUAGACGUAACGAAUAAAACUCCUUUAACUUAACAUCUGUAAACAAGACAAAAACGUAUCAACAAAGUUUUCUGUUAGAGUUUGUGUUCUUCUAAGUUUAACUCAAGAUUUUAAAUACUUUCAUUUACUGCAAAUGAAUAUCUCCUCCAAAUGUCUCACUAAUAAUCAUUAUCAGCCUUAAAAACCCACAAAACACCCCUCUAUACUGGACCACACUUAGUACAGUCCGGUUCCCCCUUCUAUAAAUCUGCUUGGAAUCUUCCACUUCCUGUUUGUCAAAGUGGCCUUCUACCUGGACAGGUUUUGUUGGAGCUCAUGCAACAAACAUUUUGGGUAACUGCACUUUAAUAUGG